This 4097-nucleotide long non-coding RNA is filed under the name Oncorhynchus mykiss (rainbow trout). RNAcentral's name for it is "lncRNA (ENSOMYG00000072491.1)". Lineage: Eukaryota; Metazoa; Chordata; Actinopteri; Salmoniformes; Salmonidae. The record is from RNAcentral.
GCAAAAGUGAUGAUCCUUGGAUUACAACAUGGUAGGCUACUUCCCUUUAGCGUUGGCCAAGCCAUUUCUGCAACACUGUCUUGGAGAACAGAUCAAAUCUGAAAACUUCUUGGCAACAUUUUUGGAGUCUAUACCAAGUGAGGAAACGGUCAUCGUCAAACAGUCAAUCCAAGAUUGCUCGUCAGUUGCUGGGAGCACAUGAUGUCAAGAUUCUGAUCAAUGAGAUGAACUGGCAGAAGAUGCUACUUGAAGUCACCCACAAAGAAAUCAUAUCCUGCCUACAUUGCUGAGUCCUGGAACAGCGUACUGAAAAGGUUGAAACUGCAUCUUGGGGGUUUUGACUUGGUUCUCGGGAGCCUCACACCAACAUUCAAGAGUUGCUGCAGCUGUUAAACAUGAUACCUUCUCAAGAGGGAACAAACGGUCAUGGACUUUUUAAAUAAGUACAUCCAUAACUGCUCAACCAACUGCCUAAGACAUUUCUCAGAUUUUGCACAGGUAAUUUCAAUGUUGAACAAUGAUAAUUAAGUAGCUCACCAGCUAGCGUGUGUUUUGUUUGAUAUUGCUUCUAUGGACGUUAAAUGCAAAUGUAAUUUACUGUUUCUCUGUUCUGUCUUACUUUCUUAUACAGGUGCAGAUGUACUUGUGUCUUCAGCCAUUCACGUCUACUUUGUUGAGCCCAAGAGUGACUUUGUGAGAAGCCCCAAUCACACACCCGCAGAUGUGUUUUGGAGAUCCCCCAACACCUACACAUCAUACCUUGAGAUGCCAGAGGAAUUCACCCAGGUCCUGGAUUCCAAAGUCCGCGGUUCCUCAGUGCGCACUCGCCCCACUCAGGAGUAGCCUACUUUGUAAAAACUUCAUGUGUUUGAGUCCAAAGUUUGUUCAUGUGUUUACAUGUUCAUGAAAUAAAAGGAUCAUUGAUAACAAAAGUCAACACUGCUUAUAUUUUGUCUGAAAAUAAAUGUAAAAGUAUACUGUUACUUAAAGGCACAAUUCCUAUCCAUUGAUUCUCAAAUAAUAUGACUGGUAAAUAGCUAGUAUAUUUUUGUGGAGCGAUGGGUAACGAGGCUUCGAGGGGUGACUGUUGUUGAUGUGUGCAGAGGGUCCCUGGUUCGCGCCCGGGUAUGGGCGAGGGGACGGUCUAAAGUUAUACUGUUACAUUGAUGCUGUUGACCCAGAUCACUGGUGGCUGCGGAAAAGGAGGAAGGUCAAAAGGGGGGUGAGUGUAACGGAUGUGAAACGGCUAGCUUAGUUAGCGGUGCGCGCGUUUCAAUCGGUGACGUCACUUGCUCUGAGACCUUGAAGUAGUAGUUCCCCUUGCUCUGCAAGGGCCGCGGCUUUUGUGGAGCGAUGGGUGACUGUUGUCGAUGUGUGCAGAGGGUUCCUGGUUCGCCCCCGGGUAUGGGCGAGGGGACGGUCUAAAGUUAUACUGUUACAUAUGCAUCUGCAGGAACAGCUAGAUUGUUCUCUGCCAUGAUGUAAGAGCACAAGGUAUACACAUCCUCACCACAAGCUAUGUCAGUCAUGACGGUGGACACGAUGGUCCUCACAGCUGGUUAUGUCCUCUUGUGACACACCACACAGUGUAUGUCAUACAACUCUGGAACUGUGUACGUGACGUCAGGCUGAAAAUGGGGGGACAUUCUCAUUCUUUGACGGGUGGAUCAGGUGUUCCAGGUGUCCUUUGUAGUGUCCAAUUCAUCCUAUAGAGGUGGAAAUAUUGUUGUUGUUAUUAAGGUAUCAUGAACAUAACAAGCCCUACAAGUGCCAAAAUAAGGAAAAAAUAUAGGUAUUUUACCAUCAUUUGUGACUACCAGUAGCCUAUCCUAUAUGUUUUUCAAAGCCCUUGUCGAAUUUGGGGCUCAGAAGUUUGUAUUAGGCUUAGUGGCCUGCCAUGGGAGAAGCCCCAUGAACUCCAAGAUGUGCCCAUUAAAACAGCAGACACGUAUUGAUUCAGGACCAUGAACAGUGGCACAAAUCAGCACCAAAUAAACAUAAGAGCGAUACCUCUGAGAUUUCAGCACCACCAGUUGCUGGACAGCAACGCUAAAAAAUAUAAUUUUAAUGGUUGUGAACACAUAAUUGCAAAUGUUAUCGCAGGUGCAGAAAAAAGCUUGUUUCUAGCUCCAAUGGCGCAGUAAUGCAUAGCAAUACACACAUCCUAAAAAUAAAUAAAUUAAAGGGGCACCAGGGGCAGCACGGCCGCUCAACUCAGAGCUCAUGACAAAAUUCAAAACCUGUGGCUCGUUGGGAUUGGCAUUGCUAGUGUGUUGGUAGGUGAAAGGCCUCAUAGGAGAGAGACUGCUAUGUUUACAAUGACAUUGUUCCGAUUCCACUGAACUUUAGAAUUGUAAAAUAGUGAAUACACGUAAAGAUUAUUGCAACUAAUGCUCCAGAUCUUUUGGUUUCCACUACAGGCCAUAGAGAAUACACUGAUCGUCUGGCCCAGGAGUGUGAAGGUGAACGGAAAGGCUCUGGAGCAACGAACCGCCCUUGCUGUCUCUGCCUGGCCGGUUCCCCUCUCUCCACUGGGAUUCUCUGCCUCUAACCCUAUUACAGGGGCUGAGUCACUGGCUUACUGGUGCUCUUCCAUGCCGUCCCUAGGAGGGGUGCGUCACUUGAGUGGGUUGAGUCACUGAUGUGAUCUUCCUGUCUGGGUUGGCGCUCCCCCUCCCUUGGGUUGUGCCGUGGCUGAGAUCUUUGUGGGCUAUACUCGGCCUUGUCUCAGGAUGGUAAGUUGGUGGUUGAAGAUAUCCCUCUAGUGGUGUGGUGGCUGUGCUUUGGCAAAGUGGGUGGGGUUAUAUCCUGCCUGUUUGGCCAUGUCUGGGGUAUGAUCGGAUGGGGCCACAGUGUCUCCUGACCCCUCCUGUCUCAGCCUCCAGUAUUUAUGCUGCAGUAGUUUAUGUGUCGGGAGGCUAGGGUCAGUCUGUUAUAUCUGGAGUACUUCGCCUGUCUUAUCCGGUGUCCUGUGUGAAUUUAAGUAUGCUCUCUCUAAUUCUCUUUUUCUUUCUUUCUCUCGGAGGACCUGAGCCCUAGGACCAUGCCUCAGGACUACCUGGCAUGAUGACUCCUUGCUGUCCCCAGUCCACCUGGCCGUGCUGCUGCUCCAGUUUCAACUGUUCUGCCUGCGGCUAUGGAAUCCUGACCUGUUCACCGGACGUGCUACCUGUCCCAGACCUGCUGUUUUCAAAUCUCUAGAGACAGCAGGAGCAGUAGCGAUACUCUUAAUGAUCGGCUAUGAAAAGCCAACUGACAUUUACUCCUGAGGUGCUGACUUGUUGCACCCUCGACAACUACUGUGAUUAUUAUUAUUUGACCAUGCUGGUCAUUUAUGAACAUUUGAACAUCUUGGCCAUGUUCUGUUAUAAUCUCCACCCGGGGGACUAGCCACCCCUCAUAGCCUGGUUCCUCUCUAGGUUUCUUCCUAGGAUUCUAGGGAGUUUUUCCAGGCCACCGUGCUUCUACACCUGCAUUGCUUGCUGUUUGAGGUUUUAGGCUGGGUUUCUGUACAGCACUUUGAGAUAUCAGCUGAUGUAAGGGGGGGGGGGGGGGGGGGGGGGGGGGGGUCUAUUGAUUGGAGUUGGACGCUUGUCUGCUCCUAACAGCAUGCAAUUCACUUGCAAUUAGAUAUGAAAUCAUAGGAAAAUAAAACAUAUUAAGAGUUUCAUUCUGUCCUUGUUUUCGGAAACACUACAAAAUAUGCUUGUAAUUGCAUUAUUGGUGAGGUACAUGGAUAAGGAAGAAGAACGUUUAUAGGUAAGUGCAGUACAGUGUGGCAGGUAAGCCCAUUAAGCAGAACAGCAUAAGGUUCUUGUCCAAGAAGUCUGUCGAAAUCACCUGAAUCUUAGAGUCUAUGUGGGUGCUCAAGCCAAAAAUCAACAUACUUUAGGCAGAAACCCCCUCCAGCUUUCAAUUCUCUGAUUGCUGGUGGUUCGACCGUAUAAGAAGCUUCUCUCGCCCCCAAUGGCAUCAUCAUUCUGUCGUAGGUACCAUUGCAUGUCCCAGACACGACUGUUCUCCGUCCCCAUGUCUGCUCCUACAAUGCGGGCGCAGCCCCCCACUUCCCCAACCGUAUCAAGGAAAUGGCCACCAAU